CCUACGGGAGGCAGCAGUAGGGAAUUUUCGUCAAUGGGCGCAAGCCCGAACGAGCGAUGCCGCGUGAGUGAAGAAGGCCUUUGGGUCGUAAAGCUCUGUUGCGGGGGAAAAAAGGCAGCAUCAGGAAAUGGGUGCUGACUGAUGGUGCCCCGCCAGAAAGUCACGGCUAACUACGUGCCAGCAGCCGCGGUAAUACGUAGGUGGCGAGCGUUAUCCGGAAGGAUUGGGCGUAAAGGGUGCGCAGGCGGUCCUGCAAGUCUGGAGUGAAACGCAUGAGCUCAACUCAUGCAUGGCUUUGGAAACUGGAGGACUGGAGAGCAGGAGAGGGCGGUGGAACUCCAUGUGUAGCGGUAAAAUGCGUAGAUAUAUGGAAGAACACCAGUGGCGAAGGCGGCCGCCUGGCCUGUUGCUGACGCUGAGGCACGAAAGCGUGGGGAGCAAAUAGGAUUAGAUACCCUUGUAGUC
RNAcentral lists this ribosomal RNA (465 nucleotides) under uncultured bacterium. RNAcentral's name for it is "partial 16S ribosomal RNA". It matches the Rfam family "Bacterial small subunit ribosomal RNA", at positions 338 to 795 of the family's 1533-position model. The record is from RNAcentral.